UUUCAUUGUUUACAUCGAUUUCUCCUCCACAAUUACUUUGAGACUGCUUUGAUCAACAAUCUGGCAUAUUCAUCUCCAUUAAUCUCUGCUUCUCCUCAAAUUUCUCUUUGUUGUUGGUGCAUUCAUUAGCUACAGCUUUCCACAGUCAGGUUUGUCUACCUCAGAUACCAUACCAGGAAGUACAACCUUUAUCAACAGACAUGUCACCGGAGAGAAAGCAUUUAUUUUUAUCCGAGCUAAGAGAAAAAAGGGCUGAGUCGAAAAAACAAAAACUCCUUCAUCAAUCAAAUACUACUGGAGCUCUUACAAUCAGCACUUCUUUGUUAUCUCCUCAGGAAGUUAUAUAUUCUUGCUCAUGAAGGAGAGCAUACACAGAGUGGAUAACAUUAUCAUAGAAAGAAAAUGACUCUCACUACUCAUGGAAUUUCACACUGAUCAUUAUACUUUAAUGUGGCUGGAUAAAUCUCUUUUGUUCGGUAUGAUUGCUCAUCGUUUAAAAAGCUUCUGAUUUAGAUGAACACUGAAUUGAUAGUACCUAAGAGAUUGUCCUGGUCUAUUGACAUUUGGAAGUGAAAUCUCACAAAAAGCUAGAAGUUUUGUUACAGAUGUGGAUCUUGAAAUUCUGUUACAACCAAAUAAUUCAUCUAUGCUUAUUAUUAGUUCCAAUAGUUGGGAGAUGAUUCAAGGCGCUAAUGAAGUUGAACGGUGGACUUAGGUAAAUAGGCAUUUUUUUUCCGGGAUAUCUUUUUUUUUUCAUAUAGUAUUUUUCCCAAACAAUUGAUUAAUCUUUAUAUGUUAAAGCCUUCUGCUUUGAGGUGAUUUAAUUUUCCCGUGGGAUAUGAUAUCAUAACUUCCACGAGAAUGUUUAGAAGCAAUUUGAGUUGCCAAAUUGUUUGGUGCUUUUAUGAAAUUAGCAGUGAUAUCGAGGACUGAAAUUUCAGAGUAAGCUUUCAAUAUUGAUUGUUUUGUUGUUAACUUUUCUGCUAUCAAUGUGUUGAAGAAAAUCGUAGGCCUCAUUUGAGACGGUUGGGAUUGUCUGAAGCUGAUGAAAGUCAUCCAUGUAAACCUCAGACUAGCUUUGAAAGCAAUUGUCCGACAAAGAAAGAGAAAAUUAAUGGUCCAGAGGUAAUGCAACGUUUUAUGGACUUCCUGAGAAGUCACUAGAUGAGCCAGUCAAUGAUGGACUAAGAGCAUAUCUCAAAGGAGACAAAGGGAAUGGGGCUUCAUGAACAUGGCUUUAUAAAUUGGAGGUGGUUCAAAUCGUUUAUCUUUGUUGAAACAAGUGAAUUAUGUGUUUAUGUUGAACAUGAUCAUGCGGAAUAUCAUUGCAGAGAAUACAUAAAGAGAUUCAAUUGCUAAUUAUGGAAGUUGGAGUCUUAAGAGUAUUCUUGAGAAUUACGAGGCAUAUGAUAGCAUUUAAAUUGUUGAAAAUGUUGAAAGGGAUACGUUAGUUCAUAGGCUUAGUUCAUUAGUUGAAGAAAUUGUUCACCUUCUAGACAUAAGUUAUUCACAAUUAUUUGUGUAAAACACUUGACGUUUGUUUGAGUCUCAAGUGUUCGACUUUGUGUGUUUUUUGGAAUUUUACUUUUGGUUACAGUACAAGGUUUGUUAAAUAUGUAAUUAUAUAUUUUGGUGUUUAAA
Molecule: long non-coding RNA, 1641 nt
Organism: Solanum pennellii
Lineage: Eukaryota; Viridiplantae; Streptophyta; Magnoliopsida; Solanales; Solanaceae
Exons: 7
Source: RefSeq, a predicted model, not a curated record